UUUUUUUUUUUAUGGUUUCACUUACUCCUAUAAAUUAAUUCGUUUUCAAAGAGAAAAAAAAAUAAAAAUAAAAAGAUUAAUCGAAAUAUGAUUUGUCUAAUGGUUCUUUCAGUAAAGCCCAUUUAAUGCUAUAUAUUUUAAAAGCUAAAGAAGUCGAUACCUUGUACGUUGUUGUCGUUGUUGGUUGUGGUACUAUGUUUAUGUCGUAUGUUUUGUAGUUAUUAAUUUCUAUUGAUAAUCCUUUGGUUGCAAGGACCUUCUCAAUUUGGGAUGCUGCAUGACGUUUGAAGUCGAUUAUUUGUAGCUUUUGGAAUGAUAAUUUUUCUUGUGUCGAUAGUGAUGUCCAUUGCUUUCGUGUGGCUCGUUCGGAAGGUGGGCUCGAUUGUGUUUUGUGGUUAUGUAGCCAGUAACGUUGUAAAACUAUGUCGCUGUACCAUUGUAGGUUGGUUUUUGGUGUCGUUUCUUCUUCUGUCGUCAAUACUUUUGUGUCCUUUGUUUGUUUAGCCAACGAUUCGUAAUAUUUCUUAUAUUUCUUGUCAAGUAGAUUAUUCCAGGAUGAAUUUGCAUCGCUGUCGAUUGCUUCAUCUUCGAUCUGAAGUGUUGAGAACAAUUGGUAGUGUUUCAGUCUUUGAACGGAUUUAAAUAAUGAUAUCGGAUAUAUAGUUAUUUCAGUUGAGCAUGUCGUGAUUCGGUUUGUUGUGGUCACAGGUUUUGGUCUGGUGCAAUUUGGAGAGGCUUUGUCGUGUACUAUUGAUGGAUUAUCGUUAAUGCUCCACGUGUGCAGUCGUAUGAGGCAGUAUGGGCAUUGUACUACGUCUGGUUGUUGUUGAAAAAAGAAGCCAUUGAUUGCGAACGUUUUUGAUCUUCGUUUCAUGUGUGCAGGUGCGUUAUGGAAAGAACCCGCUCUGUUGUGUAGGUUUCUGAAGAAGGCUCGUCUGAUGGUGGUAAUCUUUUUGUUUCGUUUGGAUUGGCGUAGACCUCGUAUUGUUGACAUCUAAUUGUUUGGAUUGUUGGAAUGAUUGGGAAUAAAGAGAAAUGGGGGGAGAGGUGAAGAAGAAAAAAAAAUAUAAAGAAAAUAAGAUAAAAAAAAUAAAAAAAAAAUUGCUCCUACUCAAUCGAGGCUUUGUUAGUUCACUUAAACUAAUGUUUCUAGCGGUGUUGGGAGGGGGUUCAAUGUUUCAUUUCUUAUGAAUGAAAUUGAAUUCGUGCGGACGUGAUCGUUGGUACUCUUCUUAUAACAGAAAGUACCUAGUAACAUCAGUAUUGAUAUGACCAUUCCUGUUAUCAUUAUUAUGAUCAGUAUUAUGUUCAUAUCAGAAUAUUCCGGUAGGUCAAACAUACGUUUAAAUGAUAUUUCCCGAGAUGCUGCUUUGUUCAAGUCUUGUAGACUUGAACUGAUCUUCCUUAACUGUUCAUUUUCGCCUAAUGAUAUUACCCGAGGGUUAUCUACCGUUUGAACCAAGUUCAAUGCCAUUGGUGUCUCGUUAGAGUUCGGUAAAGCGUAAUGAGUCGUCGGUAUUAAUUGUUCGUAAAUUUCAGAAUAAUAAUCAGUUUGUGACAUAAUCAACAACUUAUCAGUUUUGAGCUGACAGUCCUGUUUGAGGCUUAAUAACCCAAUCCCUUCGAUUCUCUCGUUAGUGGUUGGCAUAUCAUUACAUCUAACAUACACAUUUUGUGGUUGUGGAAAUGUGGCAAUCCACGUAUUUGGUUGUUUUACCUUAAUAAGCAUUUCAGAAGUUAUUUUCGCGAUUCUAAUAUCACAAUUUGCCGAGUCAUUCUUAUUUGCUAAGAGGGUAGUACCGCAGUCGUCAUCGCUUUCCGAUACUUGAAAUAUGGGAGAUGUUUGUGGGCAAAUUAAGUUAUUUUGCUGAGAGAUGUGUCUCAAGUCGUGGCAUUUUACUAGUUCCUCGUUGGUCAAAGAAAUGUAAGAUUCCCUAUAAUCGUCCAUGGCAAUGUACUCGUGUGUAGGUACUAUGAAUUGGUACACACCCGAAGGGAGUCGGUUCGGGAGACUAGUGAGUUUGAUCAGAUUAUACUGUUUCGUUGAGAGUAAAGGUACUGACAUUACAAUCAGUAACUGGUCGUCAACAAUUCUUGACCGGGUGGUUGAAAUUUGGUAAUACGUGGCUAUAUUAUCUUUACUAAUGGGUAAUGGAAGCAUCAGAUCGUUUUCAUUGAUUUCAGAUUGUAUGGACGUCAGUUCGUCCAUAAACUUAGCUGGUGGUAAAACGAUUGGAGUUAUCUGUACCGUUUCUACCCCUAAUGUAAUGGCUUCAAGGAAUUGUUUUUGUCUGUUAUGAAAUGAAUUCAACGCGACCGUGAUAUACGUUUGUAGAUCUUGCAUUUGGGAUUGUAGUGCUAGAUUAAGCCAAACAUUCUCAAAAUCCAAUCGCAUGUGUGCGAUGGUUUCGUUCAUUGAUGCGAUUUUGUUGUCAAUUCUUUCUUCCAUUUCACGCCGUAUUCCAUUAACUCUUGCCAAAACCUGAGAUGUGGAUUUCAAAAGUGUAGUAUGUGCUGACGAUAGUAUUUGUCGCGGCAAGUUCCAUGAAUCCAUGGCUGUAAAUUUCUCAAGGAAUGUCAUUGCAUCUUGUCGUGUCAAUGAUGAUAAGAAUGAUUUGAUUGAUGUUCCCAUUGUACUGCCCAAACCACGUCGUUUUCGUGUUCCCAUUUUAUCGUGGAACCAUUGGACAUUGAAAUUGUCUAUAUGUGAUCUGAGAAUUAAUAUUUGUUCAUAGGAUGCUCCACACUGUCGUGGAUAUAAAUGGCUAUCGAAUGAUGGUUGGGGGUCUUCUAUCGUUGAAUUAUGUUGAUUGAAUUCAGUGGUUAAUUGUUGGCACAUUCUCGUCAAUUUGUUCACGAAUUGGUCAAUGUGAUCGAAGUCUUCCUGUAGAGUUGUUAAAUUAAUGUGGUAUACCACAUGCCAUUCGUUGUUAUAUAUUUUGAUCGGUGCCAAUUUUUCAAAAUAUAUUCCUCCCGAAGUAUGCAAUGGUGUGAAUACAAAAUUAGGGUUUGUUUCGUUCGUCUCUGUCGUCCAUGCUAUGUUUAGUAUUGCGCUAGAGGAAUAAUAUGUUCAUAAAUGUUUUGUAUAAGCAUUCAUCUAUACCCUCAAUCUUUGUUCGGCACCACUUUACCUAGGAGUUUUACAGAUAUAUCGCAUUGUGCGAGUGUUUGUAUAAAUGAUCUUACAAUGAACGUCAUCACAUGGGUUCUAUGGACAAAGAAAAAUUAGUGAAGUGAAACUAAACUUCAUCAGAAUAAACAAUUCUUGUUUAAAAGGGAAGAAGUCACACAGUCAGUAUUCUCGCGGGUCGUAUUUACGUCGCGUCAGUCCUUGACCUUAAGGUUUGAUUUGCAAUAGUAGUUCAUAAUAAUUCAGCUAAGAUUUGAUAUCAAGUUGUCCAGGCGUCGAUAGUGCGCUUAUAAUCGGAAUUUGGACGAAUAUCAUACACAGUGGCGGAUCAUAAAACUGAUCCUAGUUAAAAGAAAAAGGAAAACUACUAAUGCAAGAUUCAACAUAAAAAAAAAUUCCAGUUUCUAUCUAAUUCCUUUCGUUCAGUCUUUAUGUUCUAAGUGAAUUCGGUGUUUGUGUGUAUCAAGUAUUCAAAUAAUUUGAGCAAUAUAAGUUAGUUAAAUAAAACCAAGUGACUUCCAAAUAAUAAGCAAUCAAACUAUUCUUCACCUCGUUCAGUGAUCAUGUGAUUACCAUCUCAAUGUCAUGCUGUUGGGAAUCCCGGACGAUACGAUAUUCUUGUUUCAAUAUGUCAUACAUUGAGUAAACUAUCACAAAGCAAAAGGUAUUCACCAAAGUUUCGAUCAGUCUUGAUACUACUGUAGUUAUGCUGAACGCUGGUAUUCUCAAUGCCGAAAGCAAUGCUGUGAUUCCUAAGAGUACCACGAAUGGUGUCAUCAUGGCGUGGUCUCUUGCUUUAAUUCCCUUACUGCAUUUCCAAGCUAUGUAAGUGAGUACUAUGCUGAAUAUUGUAAUGAAAAUCAUCUCCUCAAUCGGAAUUUCAAAAAACUUGUCACAAUGUUCAUGUGUUGUUGAUCUGGUCAGAUCGUCGCAAUUGUACAUAGACAACAGUAGAAUCGCGAAUAUGCCUGCGUAAAAUAUCACUAUGGAUGUUAUCAGAUACAACCAUGUGACCAUCAAGCUACCUGUCUUUAUUCCGAUGCAAAAACAGGAGUUCAACUGUAACGUCAUACUUCCUCGUCUGUUUGUCCGUUGUCUGAAUGAUCGAAAACGAUAGUUCGUUCGAAUUCAAAAGAAAAGAAAAGUCCUUUUAUCGUAACGGAGUGAUCAAGGGACUAUUCACUCAAUAUGAUCGACUGGUUGAGUCAUUUACUACAAACCAUUUCACCAGUCAUCCUGACAAAUUCUGGAUUAUAAUACAGUCGUGAAACCGUUGAGUUUACAUUAACAGAGGUGUCCUAUGAGACCUGGGGGUAUUCAGUCAUAGAAGAAUUUCUCAAAUAAAAAUAAGUGUAAAAAGAACUUUGUAAUAAUUCAACAAUAAGAAACAAAGUGUUUGAAAAAUUAAUAAAGUUUCUCAAUUAACAAUCCACAUUUUCACAUGGCGACUCAGUGACAGUUUCGAAAUUUUUUUAAGUCAUUAAAAUAAAAAUAACUUAGAAUAUUUCGUCGGAAAAUACAGUGAACAUUAUUGUGUAAACAUAACGCAACAAUUAUAAACUUUGUAUAAUGAACUUAAGAAAGGGCUCAGUAAUUCUCUUCAAAGAAUGAUGUCCAUAGCCUUCAGUGGCUUAUCAACUUCUAAAUGUGUCAUUCAUAUGGAUGAUUUAAUUGUGGCAGCACCAACUGAAAAUAUCAUGCUUAAAAAAAAACAAUCUUACUGGAGUAUUCCGAGUGUGUAGAAGAUUCAAUCUUAAACUCGUAAAUUUCACUCGUAUGGAGCAAGGAUAGGUAAAGUCACUUACCACUUGAAGGUUAGUGUGGAAUAUGAUAUCAGAGUUUACCAUCCAGUCACCUGCUUUCGCCAAUUCUUAAGAGAAAAAAGAAAAAGCUAAAUUUGGUGUCGUCAUCACAUACUACAAAUAUUGUUUCUGCUUCCAACAUAUAACAAUCAUCAGGGAUUUUCUUUUUCAAAUAUUAAACUACGUUUGUGACUGUAGGCCCUGGAGCUAAUACUGCAGUUAGGGCCAUCAAUCAGAAGUUCAUUCAGUGUCAUGGUCAAUACUGUAGCCCGUGGGUGCAUUGUGAAUAACCUCUUUGGAGGAUGUCGUAUCAAAGAAAUAAGUGCAGGAUCCGUCAAAACGUUAGGAUCCAUUUACGCUAAUCUUUCAGUGAAAGAGGUCGACGACUUAAAAUCUAAAAUACGGUUAAAAUAAAACGAAGUGAUUUUCUUUCUUCUUCCUUUAAAUCAUAACCGAUAUCGUGUCCUUCAAUUGAGUACAUUCGUGAACAUACGUCUCACCAACUUUUGGGUGUACGACAGUCAGCUCUCAUCAAUCUAAGAGUUGUCUCUCCGGAUCCGCGACUCUAAGACAACAAACAACACUCAUAAAAGAAAACUUAUCAUAAUUUCUCAAUAAAGAGAACUUACAAUAAUCUUGUGUAAAAUGAAAUUCGUCAAACAAAGCGUUUGAACCAAAGAAAUUCAAAACAACAACUCAUUUUGUCCCGCGUAAUGUUUUUGAACGAUCAAUUUUCGAACCAAAACAUUUAUGCUGGGACUAAUGUGAACUGUCAUUCGCAUCGAUUUUCUAUUAUCGAUCUCGUCGUAAAGAAAGUGGCGCGUGUGUAUCGCGUCCUCUCAUGCAUUAUUAUACCGAUCGUGAAAGUAUACAGAAGGACUGUCCGUGGUUCAAUUAUAUCUUUGUGCAUUCGUCAUUGUAGCGAAAAUAUAUCGCUGUCUAAAUACUUUGAAAGUGUACGUGAUCAAUCGAUCGAAAAAAUGACUUUAGCCAUUUUGAGGUUAAUGUUCGUGAUCCUCUAUAUUCAUACGGUGUGGGGUGCCCCAUGCGUCACAGUGAAGAGGACAGAGGUCGGCAGUCCGUUCGGGACAUUGGAAUAUGGACUCCUUGUUUACUGUGCUGGAAUCUCAACCGUGUUGCUGUUAGUUGGUCUUUGGUUUAGCGUGGCCUGGUGCGUUUACAGGCGACAUCGAAUGGUUCGUGCUUACCAGACGUUCAAUGCCAACACUCCGCCGCCACCUGAACUCGUUGAUUCAGCAUCGUCCGGACCCGCUGUUGGUGAUGUUUCAAGUUACCGAAGUUGCGUCUGUGAAGAAAUGGGUCGGUUCCCGAUACCUAUGGGUCCUAAUCCCGGGCCUAUUGACCUGAUGCCUCGUUCGUGCCCCACUAUGCCGGUUUAUCCGAUGCAGUAGCCAGACUGGACUAUUAUGUUACAAAUGGUUAAAUCGUCCGAAUUUACUGUAAAACCCUUCUUCAAUUGUUGUUUGGUGGGGGGGUGUCCAUACAACGCUCUCAUUAUUUGCCUAGAGUAAUUCUUAUGUAACAAAGCGCAGUUACUAUACAAUGUUGCAUGAAGUUCCAGUAAAUCGUCAUUCUCCGAUAGAUUGACGAAUCCUCCACCACAUUGUUUUUCAGUCGUCACCGGUAGUUGUGGUGGCCAAAACUCCUGGAAUGUAGCUUUCCGUUGGUCAUAAGUUUGGAAUUGUGGGUACAGUGGCCUGACUAAGGAUCUAUCAUCUGUGGCAUUCGAUGAGCUCGGAUAAAAUGCCAUUUCCAAUUCUGGAAGGGACGAAAUUCAUAUUUGAUUGUUGGUCAGUUUUCCUUCUUAGGAAGCCUAUGUAUAGGAAGAGUGGAGCAGAUACGAGUUUUUCUCUUUGUACACACGAGUGAGAUCUUGAACAUUGUGGACAUCGGUUUAUUCCGUCGCCAUACGGGCGUGGAGUGAACAUUUGUGACACUGAGUGUUGCACUGAUUUAGAAGUUUGCAUCCGUCCGUGAAUGGACAGUGCGGCGUUUACAAAAGUAUUGUUUGUAUUCUUGCAUUUAGUGCUUAGCAUACUACUUCUAACGGCGUUCGGUAUUUGGUUCCAUUUGACGGAACUCAAAUCACCUUCGAUCAAACUAUAAAAUGUGUGUAUUAUUGUUUGAUCGUUUGUCAACAGUCGGUAUAAUUCACAUCCGAAACAUUCGCAUGGAAAUCCAAAUUGUGACGAUUUGGAAUUCAAGUCUAUAGCGAAAUGUUCGAAUAUUGACAAAAAUACCGCUUUAAUGUAUAUGUUAGUUUUCAACCUUAAAUCAUAACGCAUUCUCUCUCUAUGGUCACGGAGGGAUAUCUUUAUUACCCCAUCCUCAUACUCAAUUCUUAAUCGGUUCUUGCUCAGAAAAUCAGUACCGAGAAUGGCAUCUUGUGUCAGAUGCAAAUGUUCGUCGCGCGUGACAUGGAAUUGGUGAGGGAUGUCCAUAUCAUCUAACGUUAUUACUGCCUCCACUGUUCCUAAUGUAACAGCAUUAGGGGCAGUAAUUCCAAUUAACGUGGUAGAAUUCGUGUCAUUUACCUGUAUUUGGUCUGGAAGAUGUUUAUACUUCAAAAUUGAUAACUCCGAACCUGUGUCGAUCAAGAAUUUAAGUUUAUUUUUAUUAUUACCGAUUGUGCACCAUAACUCAACUUGCCUAUAUGCUAGGCUUUGUUCGUCCGUAGAGAUCAGGGUCUUUAUAUCAAAUUCUCCUUGCCGUGGAGCCUGAUUUGUGUCUGACCUCUCGGGCUCGUAUUCGGUGGCCUGGUUCUUUCUAAAAAAGCAACCUGGCGCGAAUCCGUGGAGCUGUCUUUACCAUUUCUCACGUUCUCGUUUUCCUUAUUAGGAAUUCGAGCGAAACACCUCUCGACAGUGUGACCGUUCCGGUGACACCUCGUACAAAACGCGUUAGACUUAUCAAAGUCAUUCGGGGAACUUCUCGGGAAAUUGUUCGGAAAGUUCCGAUUGUUCACGUUGCUCUGGAAACGAUGACCGUUACCAGAAUUAGACGAAUUUGGGUUAUUCCAAAAACUUCUCCGUUGAAAACUCGGAUUAAAAUUAUUCCUAGUGUAGUUCCCAUACCCGUUCCACUGUUUCGGGUUCCUAGGGGACCUUUCAACGUUGGGUUUAUCUGAUUCGUUUUGGCCGGUGAUCUUAUUUACCUUCACGAAUGGCUCUUCCUCAACCGCUUUCUUCACGAGCUCAUCUAAGGUCUUCGCCUCAAAGUUCACUAUCCGAUACUUCAACGGGGGUUUCAGACCUUCCCUAAAGGUCCUUAUCGCGACUUUUUCAUGUUCUAACUUAAAAGAAUCUGUUACCUCCGGUGCAUUGUAUUGCGAACUCAUAAUGUCGCUGAGCUCUUUCAAUUUUUCUCUGAUAAGGUCUGCGAAUUCCCGUACCGAUUUAUCUGAACCCUGGGUCAGAUUUAUCAGUUCGUUCUGCAGAGCUGAUGCUGACUUUGUCAGUCGUAUUCCUUCUAACAAAUCUUUUUUGAAAUCAGUCCAACAGGUAUACUGUUUGCUUUCAAAUAUCAAAAAUGCUUUUCCUCCCAAUUUAAAUAUUAGGUGUGACAGGAAGGAUCUCUUUCCAUCGGCGUUAAGAGCGUCAUGGAAGGUAUCACACCUCUUCACAAACACCGGGAGUGAUUUAAUGUCACUCUUAAAUUCCGGUAUCAUGCGGUUGAAAUCCGCUGUAGAGAACACCAUUCCCAGAGGCGCAUUGGCGUCACCAUUACCAUCAUUCCCCGGGUUAACCAUCGUUACGAUGUCUGUAAAGCUCAAAGAUUUCCUUGACAACCCCGGGGGUCUACUUAUGAAGGUUUUCGGAAGUUUUAUUCCUAAGGGUUCUAAUGGUCUAUUAACAGGCGUUACCACCGUUUCUAAAUUACGACCUGAACGCAAAUUCCUUUGGUUGAUCUUCCCGUAAUCGAUCAAAUGGCCAAGCUUUCUAGCUUCACGUGGGUCAACUUGUUCUUUCUUGAUUCUAUUGUGAAGGAAGUCUUUAAAUGUUGUCAUCAAUUUCCUUUUUUUUUAUGUUUUGUGAAAUCGCUGGGAGACGUAGAAGAAAAGACCGAUAGGAAGAGAGAGAGAGUAAAAGAGAAGUCCCUCCUACUUACGUAUCGGCAAACAAUUCUUACGAAAUCUGUACGUUACAAGGUCAAAAAAAAA
Molecule: long non-coding RNA, 9112 nt
Organism: Bradysia coprophila
Lineage: Eukaryota; Metazoa; Arthropoda; Insecta; Diptera; Sciaridae
Source: RefSeq, a predicted model, not a curated record